This is a non-coding RNA of Odocoileus virginianus texanus, 608 nucleotides long. NCBI's taxonomy places the organism in Eukaryota, Metazoa, Chordata, Mammalia, Artiodactyla, Cervidae. The record is from RefSeq and is a predicted model, not a curated record.
ACAGAGACAGGCGGAAGGACUGCCGUUUAAAAUCGGUUCAUGGAAAGGUCUGAAGGACGGUGGCCUUGAGGGGCAGGACAGUUACCGGAGUUACAGAAUCAUCCUCUGGAGCUGUCAGUUUGACUACAAGCAUGCCCUACAGGAAUGCAAAAGCGCAAUAAAAAGUAAUGAAGACAGUCGGAGGAAGCAACUGAGUCCCCUUUUGAGAGAGUCUAAGAAACCAAGCAUUUCUGUGACAAGACAGACACAGCAUCAGAAACAGAAGCUCUACACUCUAGAAACCAGCACCCAUCUAAACUUUUGAUCUUCAGUCAAGUCCUCACCAUUCCAAGGAUGAGAAACCUACCGGUAACAGUACUGCCUCAAAGUCAUGACCUAUUUAGUGCUUGGUAUUAAGUUGGAUGGAUGGGCAUAAGCAACCGCCAUUAAUUUUCUCACUUCUGAAAAAGGAAAAAAAAAAAACCCAAACCCAAACCUUCACUAACAGACAACACAAUCUUAAAAGACAAUGACAAUUUUAACACAUUCAGUGGUAAAGAUUUUGAGCCACACAUUUUAGAUGUAAUUGCUCUGCUCAGGCAGUGUUUAUAAGUGGAAUUCAUUAGCAG